AAAGAAACGAAAUCCUCCACUUUCUUCGGAUCAAAUCACACUAUAAUAUAAAUAAAUAAAUUAAAUACAGAUAAAAGUAGGGUAUGUUGUUUACAUCACUCUCUACUCAACAUACAUAUAGAAUUUACUUACAUUGAAUUAAUUAGUUGACUGAUUUGCAAUCAACAAAUAAAGAAUGGAAGACAAAAACAAGCCUAAAUUAUAUGUAAGAUUGAGUAGAUAACUUGUAUCCUGAAAUAAUUGCUGAUAAUGCCAAUAAGAAGAACGCAAAGAAUGUCAUGCUAAUGGCUGCUGCUGAAGAGUCUGUAAAUAUGUUAUCUGCACCUUCCCGCAUCCUGUUCGUCAUGGGAACUGCUGUAGAAGCCGCAGAUAUCAACAAGUAGGACAUAAUCUGCAAUUCAACCCCAGAAAAACAAAAAAGAUUAAAUAAAAUUAUGCUAGUACUCACGCACUUGUCAAGUAGCAUCGUUAGGUGAUACCCUGCUUCCUGUUUCCAUCCUUUAAUUUGAAGGUUCAAACCAAAAGGGUAUAUAAAAUAAAUCACCAGUUUAACAAUUUGAUAAAGUAAAAGCAAUCCAUGCGACUCCUCAAGCUUCACCAACUCAAAAGCUCAUAGGCAUUUGCCAAUUAGGUGGUAUGUACUUGAUUUAUUCCAACAAUUGUAAGGUGAAACUGUAGCUUCAAAAUUGGAACCAUAUCCAGACUAAUGGACAUUAUUCUAGAAGCAAUAAAGAAAUGUCAAUGCAGUUGUAAUGAAAUCAUGGACCUCAUGCCUAGUCAAUACAGAGACCUUUCCUAUGUUUAUCACGGCAGCAUCAUUCUAGAAAGUGAUAAAUACUUUUCUACAGGAAACGAAAAAUUUUCCACAAUGUUCAAUCAAGGAAUCCCCAUCUUCAGGCAAUCUAAUCAAUGUAGAAGACUGCCCAUCAAUAGAAAGUUAAAAACGAUGAAAUUCAACUUGGAUUUUCUCUUCUUAUCCCCUUUUUCUCUGCUACCAAACAAAACCUAAAAGAGGAAGAAAAAAUGAAAAGGUGUAGAUAAAAACUCUUACCUGAUCACCAAAGAAGUCUACCAUAGCAGAAGUCCGUCGCUGAAGUGUAAGUUUUCCCGUCCAAAGCUCAUGAACAUGUCGCAGCACUUGUCCUCCCGUAUACAAAGUCGAAAGUAUUGCUAUUGCCAAUAAAUACCUGUACUCUUCGUAUCUGUCAAAAUUCUUCCAAUCGCCGUGUUUAUUACUGGCCAUUAUAAGAAAAGCAAGCAAAGAGAACAAGAGACCCAAUCCUCUCAAAGCCAGUGACCCUCUCUCCAAAAUUGCUUCCCUUUUCCAUCGCCUAGUGAUUGCCCCAAACCCAAAUCCCGUUCCUGUUCCAGUUCCUGCCUCCUCGUCGGCCACCUCGGGAGCAGUCGGUAUGGGAAGUGCCGACGGCGGCGGCGAUGAUUCGAAUUGUUUUUUGGGUGCUGUAUCCUCGGAAUUGGACAUCUUUCUUAGAAAUCAAGGAACCAGGCAAACAAAAUCAGAGAACAAGAAACCAGUGCGAAGAAAUUCAAGGUAUUUGAUCUGAUAGGACAAGGAAGGAGAUUUAUUUAUCAGUUCUUAAGUUCCAGUUGACAACUCUGAAUAAAAAAAAAAACAGUUUUAGUUGACAGCUCAGCCUUGGCUUGCAAUUCAAUUAAGG
Molecule: unclassified non-coding RNA, 1676 nt
Filed under: Hevea brasiliensis (rubber tree)
Lineage: Eukaryota; Viridiplantae; Streptophyta; Magnoliopsida; Malpighiales; Euphorbiaceae
Source: RNAcentral